This is a long non-coding RNA of Macaca mulatta (Rhesus monkey), 1605 nucleotides long. The record is from Ensembl. Lineage: Eukaryota; Metazoa; Chordata; Mammalia; Primates; Cercopithecidae.
GGUACACACACACACAGACACACACACACACACACACACACACCCCUGGGGCUGCUCGAUGUUUCCCUCCUCUGUCUUCCCUUGUCUUUCCUGUGCAGCAGAAGCCUGAUGCCUGGGUCAGGCGACACUGCGCCUUUCAUUCCCCACGGAGAUCUUGGACCUGGAGUUUCCAAGUUUCGAAGAGAUGCGGUUGUCGACGGCUCCCCUAGAAUCUCUGAUGGCUCUGAAGGGGGACAAAGGUCUAGGGCAGAGGGAUGGUGCGGAAGGACCCAGCCACGGCCAUUGGAAGAGCAGUUUCCUGCAGUGUAAAGCUGUUUACCACCUGCACAGCUUUGGCUCUCUGCCAGGACGAACCACAUCCGCCCCAUUCACGGUCUUUAUUCCAGCUCAUUUCCCUCUGCGAAUCACACUGGGUAGGUCGCUGGGGCCCUCGGUAAUUACGGAUCAUGGCACAGCCAAGAAAAAUACAGGUUUUCGUAAGCCUGAAGCCACUGACUUGAGCGGAGAGAGUAGGAGUAAUGCCAGCAGUAGUUUUGUGUUCCGUUUUCGUUUUUAUGUUCUAGUCACUAGGCCACAAGAGAAUGUUCCACCCAGUGCCAGUCGAUCUGUCACGGCGCCCCACCUUUCCCUGAACGGAGGGUUUGUGGCUGACAUCUCCAGUUUCUCAGAGCCUGGGAGUGAUCGCUGGCUGCACCGUUGAUGGCGCCAAAAAGAACGGGCAUUUGUCUUUGGCAACAGCGCUGGCUUUCGCCUCGUGCCCGCGCUUGAGAGGUCCUAGCGCCGCCAGAUUCUCACACUAGCGGGUCCAGCGCCCAGCGCUGCUCCUCCCACCAAUCAUCGGUUUCUCAUACUCACUUCAUUGGCAGCACUGAGCGGUCAGUUUUCUGGUGGCGGCGACGCUAGUUGGUCUGAAUGAAACGUUUCCCUUCUCUCUCCGUGUGUCCCAUUCUCCAUCCCACGUCCUCCAGUGCCGGGGUCAUGGUCGCAGCACCCGGCGUUCAUGUUGACUCUUUUGCCAGCUGCGUGGAGCCGGCAGUCUUUCUGUCACAGCACUUGUACAGACUUUCUCGGCUGCCGAACGUCUCUUUUUUCCUCAGAGACGACGGUUUCUUGGUGACAGUGCCGUUGGCUGAGACGUAACGAAUGUUCUCCUUGACAACCCCACAGGCUGGCGUCCCUCGCAGGCUCCAGACGCAGCCAUGUCGCCAAGCUGAGAUCUCUUGGUUGCGGCACUGCUCCUGGCUCGGUGCCUGCAUUUUCUCGGUGGCUACAGCGCUCAGGUCGUCGAUCUGAGGGCUUCGGAGUACCGGCCAGGCGCGGUGGCUCACGCCUGUAAUCCCAGCACUUUGGGAGGCCGAGGCGGGCGGAUCACGAGGUCAGGAGAUCGAGACCAUCCUGGCUAACAAGGUGAAACCCUGUCUCUACUAAAAAUACAAAAAAAUUAGCCGGAUGUGGUGGCGGGCGCCUGUAGUCCCAGCUACUCGGGAGGCUGAGGCAGGAGAAUGGUGGAAACCCUGGAGGCGGAGCUUGCAGUGAGCCGAGAUCGCGCUACUGCACUCCAGCCUGGGUGACAGAGCAAGACUCCAUCUCAAAAAAAAAAAAAAA